AACUUGGCAGAGAUGCCUUGGUGCCUUCGGGAACGCUGAGACAGGUGCUGCAUGGCUGUCGUCAGCUCGUGUUGUGAAAUNUUGGGUUAAGUCCCGCAACGAGCGCAACCCUUUAUCCUUUGUUGCCAGCGAUUCGGUCGGGAACUCAAAGGAGACUGCCGGUGAUAACCGGAGGAAGGUGGGGAUGACGUCAAGUCAUCAUGGCCCUUACGAGUAGGGCUACACACGUGCUACAAUGGCGCAUACAAAGAGAAGCGACCUCGCGAGAGCAAGCGGACCUCAUAAAGUGCGUCGUAGUCCGGAUCGGAGUCUGCAACUCGACUCCGUGAAGUCGGAAUCGCUAGUAAUCGUGGAUCAGAAUGCCACGGUGAAUACGUUCCCGGGCCUUGUACACACCGCCCGUCACACCAUGGGAGUGGGUUGCAAAAGAAGUAGGUAGCUUAACCUCGGGAGGGCGCUUACCACUUUGUGAUUCAUGACUGGGGUGAAGUCGUAACAAGGUAAGCGUAGCGAG
RNAcentral lists this ribosomal RNA (514 nucleotides) under uncultured bacterium. RNAcentral describes it as "bacterial SSU rRNA". It matches the Rfam family "Bacterial small subunit ribosomal RNA", at positions 994 to 1509 of the family's 1533-position model. The record is from RNAcentral.